Molecule: long non-coding RNA, 536 nt
Organism: Mya arenaria
Lineage: Eukaryota; Metazoa; Mollusca; Bivalvia; Myida; Myidae
Exons: 3
Source: RefSeq, a predicted model, not a curated record
AUUCCCACGGACCGCCAAUUUUUCGACGGAAGUAACAGUAAAGAUACUAAAUUCCGGGACAUUUUACCCAUUAUAUCUUUAUUCAAUUUUUAAUGGACUGUCAAGUUUUGAAUCACAGGAUUUGUCUUCGUACACAGUGCCUGCCUUGCCGCAUUUCAUUGUCAACAGUAUAUCAUCAAAUGGCUUCGUUGUGGGUUUUAACGAGACGCAAACAAAUUUUCUCUGGUGGAAUAUAAUCGGUAUUGAAGAAACUUCAAACAAAGUACCACGAUCUAGCCUUUCUUACAAGUUUGAAAACCUGCUUUCGGGUCAUCAAUACGAUCUCGAAAUAUAUUCUGAAGUUGAUGGUUUUAUUUCUUUGAAGAACUAUUCAGAAACCGUCACCACUUUGCCUUCAACGCCUUCGCUGCUUGAAUUCCCGAUCGAAUAUGUAAAAGAGAAAAGCUUCAAGGCGAACAUCACAGUGCCAAAUACUAGGUUCGACAAUCUGAGUGUUAAAAUCUGUGAGGAUUUGGAACAGUCCACCUGUUUCACCA